Molecule: unclassified non-coding RNA, 339 nt
Filed under: soil metagenome
Description: partial contains 5.8S ribosomal RNA, internal transcribed spacer 2, and large subunit ribosomal RNA
Rfam family: 5.8S ribosomal RNA (bases 1-120)
Source: RNAcentral
GAUGAAGAACGCAGCGAAAUGCGAUACGUAGUGUGAAUUGCAGAAUUCAGUGAAUCAUCGAAUCUUUGAACGCACAUUGCACCUCUCGGUAUUCCGGGAGGUAUGCCUUUUCGAGCGUCAUUUGUACCCUCAAGCUCUGCUUGGUGUUGGGUGUUUGUUCCGCCUCUGUGUGUGAACUCGCCUCAAAACAAUUGGCAGCCGGCGUACUUGUUUCGGAGCGCAGCACAUUUUGCGAUCCAGAUCAACGUACAGCGGCAUCCAAGAAGCCUUAUUUAACGCUCUUGACCUCGGAUCAGGUAGGGAUACCCGCUGAACUUAAGCAUAUCAAUAAGCGGAGGA